GACGAACGCUGGCGGCGCGCUUAACACAUGCAAGUCGAACGGAAAGGCCUGCUUUCCCUUGUGGGUUGCGGGUACUCGAGUGGCGAACGGGUGAGUAACACGUGAGUGAUCUGCCCCCAACUUGGGUAUAAGCCUGGGAAACUGGGUCUAAUUCCCGAUAGGACUGCAGGGUGGUGCCUGUGGUGGAAAACGAUUUUCUAGUGGUUGGGGAUGAGCUCGCGGCCUAUCAGCUUGUUGGUGGGGUAAUGGCCUACCAAGGCGGCGACGGGUAGCCGGCCUGGGAGGGUGGACGGCCACAUUGGGACUGCGAUACGGCCCAGACUCCUACGGGAGGCAGCAGUGGAGAAUAUUGCACAAUGGGCGGAAGCCUGAUGCAGCGACGCCGCGUGGGGGAUGACGGCCUUCGGGUUGUAAACUCCUUUCGACCGCGAGGAAGCCACCUGGUUGGAAGGGUGGUGACGGUAGUGGUAGAAGAAGCACCGGCUAACUACGUG
RNAcentral lists this ribosomal RNA (494 nucleotides) under uncultured bacterium. RNAcentral describes it as "partial 16S ribosomal RNA". It matches the Rfam family "Bacterial small subunit ribosomal RNA", at positions 28 to 507 of the family's 1533-position model. The record is from RNAcentral.